This 468-nucleotide ribosomal RNA is filed under the name uncultured bacterium. Its description in RNAcentral is "partial 16S ribosomal RNA". It matches the Rfam family "Bacterial small subunit ribosomal RNA", at positions 28 to 507 of the family's 1533-position model. The record is from RNAcentral.
GACGAACGCUGGCGGCGUGCUUAACACAUGCAAGUCGAACGGAAAGGCCCUGCUUUUGUGGGGUGCUCGAGUGGCGAACGGGUGAGUAACACGUGAGUAACCUGCCCUUGACUUUGGGAUAACUUCAGGAAACUGGGGCUAAUACCGGAUAGGAGCUCCUGCUGCAUGGUGGGGGUUGGAAAGUUUCGGCGGUUGGGGAUGGACUCGCGGCUUAUCAGCUUGUUGGUGGGGUAGUGGCUUACCAAGGCUUUGACGGGUAGCCGGCCUGAGAGGGUGACCGGCCACAUUGGGACUGAGAUACGGACCAGACUCAUACGGGAGGCAGCAGUGGGGAAUAUUGCACAAUGGGCGGAAGCCUGAUGCAGCAACGCCGCGUGCGGGAUGACGGCCUUCGGGUUGUAAACCGCUUUCGCCUGUGACGAAGAGUGAGUGACGGUAAUGGGUAAAGAAGCACCGGCUAACUACGUG